GGUCCCGCCUGCCCAGUGACUCUUUAAACGGCCGCGGUAUCCUAACCGUGCAAAGGUAGCAUAAUCACUUGUCCCUUAAAUCGGGACUGGAAUGAACGGCUAAAUGAGGACUAAGCUGUCUCUUACAGGCUAGCCAAUGAAAUUGAUUUUCCAGUACAAAAGCUGGAAUAUAACCACAAGACGAGAAGACCCUGUGGAGCUUACAAACCAAAUUCACCAAACAUGUCUUUAUCGGUUUUCAGUUGGGGCGACUUUGGAGUAAAAAACAACCUCCAAACACCAAACUAAUUAAGAACAACAUAUCAAAAUAUAUCUGUAAUGACCCAGCAACCCUGUGGUUGUCUGAUUAAUGAACCAAGUUACCCCAGGGAUAACAGCGCCAUCCCCUUCUAGAGUCCCUAUCGACAAGGGGGUUUACGACCUCGAUGUUGGAUCAGGACACCCCAAUGGUGCAGCCGCCAUUAACGGUUCGUUUGUUCAACGAUUAAAGUCCUA
RNAcentral lists this ribosomal RNA (495 nucleotides) under Anatololacerta anatolica. RNAcentral describes it as "partial 16S ribosomal RNA". It matches the Rfam family "Bacterial large subunit ribosomal RNA", at positions 1851 to 2598 of the family's 2925-position model. Lineage: Eukaryota; Metazoa; Chordata; Lepidosauria; Squamata; Lacertidae. The record is from RNAcentral.